CCUGCCCACUGAAUUUAUAUUAAAGGGCCGCAGUAAUUUGACUGUGCAAAGGUAGCAUAAUCAUUAGUCUUUUAAUUGAGGACUAGAAUGAAAGGUUGGAUGAGGUAGAGUCUGUUUUAUAUUUAUUAAAUUGAAAUUAGUUUUUAAAUAAAAAAAUUUAAAUGGUAUUAAGGGACGAGAAGACCCUAUAGAAUUUGAUAGAUGUAAUUUUUAAUUAAGUUAAAGGUUAUUUUUUAAUUGAUUUGAGGUUUAUUUAAUUGGGGUGAUUAGAAGAUAAAUUUAACUCUUUUUUUUUGAUUUAAUAAUUUUUUUAGUAAAAAGAUCCAUAAUUAAUGAUUUAAAGAUUAAAUUACCUUAGGGAUAACAGCAUAAUUUUUUUUAAGAGUUCAUAUUGAAAAGAAGGAUUAUGACCUCGAUGUUGGAUUAAGAUUAAUAUUAGGUGUAGAAGUUUAAUAAUUAGG
Molecule: ribosomal RNA, 461 nt
Filed under: Oxypilus hamatus
Lineage: Eukaryota; Metazoa; Arthropoda; Insecta; Mantodea; Hymenopodidae
Description: partial 16S ribosomal RNA
Source: RNAcentral